This 492-nucleotide ribosomal RNA is filed under the name uncultured bacterium. RNAcentral describes it as "partial 16S ribosomal RNA". It matches the Rfam family "Bacterial small subunit ribosomal RNA", at positions 29 to 507 of the family's 1533-position model. The record is from RNAcentral.
AGUGAACGCUGGCGGUAGGCCUAACACAUGCAAGUCGAACGGCAGCACAGUAAGAGCUUGCUCUUACGGGUGGCGAGUGGCGGACGGGUGAGGAAUACAUCGGAAUCUACUUUUUCGUGGGGGAUAACGUAGGGAAACUUACGCUAAUACCGCAUACGACCUACGUGUGAAAGUAGGGGAUCUUCGGACCUUGCGCGAUUGAAUGAGCCGAUGUCGGAUUAGCUAGUUGGCGGGGUAAAGGCCCACCAAGGCGACGAUCCGUAGCUGGUCUGAGAGGAUGAUCAGCCACACUGGAACUGAGACACGGUCCAGACUCCUACGGGAGGCAGCAGUGGGGAAUAUUGGACAAUGGGCGCAAGCCUGAUCCAGCCAUACCGCGUGGGUGAAGAAGGCCUUCGGGUUGUAAAGCCCUUUUGUUGGGAAAGAAAAGCAGCAGGUUAAUACCCCGCUGUGCUGACGGUACCCAAAGAAUAAGCACCGGCUAACUUCGUG